This 455-nucleotide ribosomal RNA is filed under the name uncultured eukaryote. RNAcentral's name for it is "bacterial SSU rRNA". It matches the Rfam family "Eukaryotic small subunit ribosomal RNA", at positions 632 to 1074 of the family's 1831-position model. The record is from RNAcentral.
AGCUAUCUCUCGGGGGUAGUCAGUUGGUUAUUAUAUCUCCACUAAUGAGCGGAGAGGGGUAAAACCUUCAAAGCAAGUUAUGUGGAUCAAGGUAUAGUGAUUAAUUGGAGUUCUAGUUCAUUUACUUUGAGAAAAUUAGAGUGUUUAAAAGCAGCCUCUUGGGGCACUGAAUACAUUAGCAUGGGAUAAUAAAAUAGGAUCUUCACAAUAUAUUUUAUUGGUUUAAAUUGCGUAUGAAGAUAAUGAUUAAUAGGGGACCAGUUGGGGGUAUUCAUAUUGGGUGGUUAGCGGUGAAAUGCUCGGAUCCAUUCAAGAUGAACUAAAGCGAAAGCAUUUACCAAGGAUGUUUUCAUUAAUCAAGAACGAAAGUUAAGGGAUCGAAGACGAUUAGAUACCGUCGUAGUCUUAACUAUAAACUAUAGCCGACCAGGGAUAUGAGUUGUUAGGAAUAUAUG